GGCCGGAUGGUGUAGUUGGUUAUCACGUGUCCUUAACAUCUUAUGGAACGGACAAGGUCCUGAGUUCGAGCCUCAGUCUGGUCA
This is a non-coding RNA of Mollisiaceae sp. DMI_Dod_QoI, 84 nucleotides long. Lineage: Eukaryota; Fungi; Ascomycota; Leotiomycetes; Helotiales; Mollisiaceae. The record is from the annotation of a GenBank genome assembly.